GUCUUAGAAGCUCACCAAAGGACUGCCUCAUAGGUACAAUUCCUCACAGAGCAUCAAGUCAGAGCACUAUGGGUAGCCAUUCAGCACCAUUCAGCGCCACUGUCAGUAGGGAAUUCUCCAGUGGUCUACGGGAGCCGGUGAUGAAUCCAUCCCAUAAUGUGGCCAACCAUGGGAA
This is a long non-coding RNA of Sinocyclocheilus anshuiensis, 175 nucleotides long. RefSeq lists it as uncharacterized. Lineage: Eukaryota; Metazoa; Chordata; Actinopteri; Cypriniformes; Cyprinidae. The transcript has 3 exons. The record is from RefSeq and is a predicted model, not a curated record.